RNAcentral lists this ribosomal RNA (241 nucleotides) under uncultured bacterium. RNAcentral describes it as "partial 16S ribosomal RNA". It matches the Rfam family "Bacterial small subunit ribosomal RNA", at positions 92 to 334 of the family's 1533-position model. The record is from RNAcentral.
CGACCGGCGCAUGGGUGAGUAACACGUAUCCAACCUGCCGAUGACUCGGGGAUAGCCUUUCGAAAGAAAGAUUAAUACCCGAUGGCAUAGUUCUUCCGCAUGGUAGAACUAUUAAAGAAUUUCGGUCAUCGAUGGGGAUGCGUUCCAUUAGGUUGUUGGCGGGGUAACGGCCCACCAAGCCUUCGAUGGAUAGGGGUUCUGAGAGGAAGGUCCCCCACAUUGGAACUGAGACACGGUCCAA